RNAcentral lists this ribosomal RNA (458 nucleotides) under uncultured bacterium. RNAcentral describes it as "bacterial SSU rRNA". It matches the Rfam family "Bacterial small subunit ribosomal RNA", at positions 917 to 1382 of the family's 1533-position model. The record is from RNAcentral.
GGGCCCGCACAAGCAGUGGAGUAUGUGGUUUAAUUCGAAGCAACGCGAAGAACCUUACCAGGUCUUGACAUCCCGUGCAUAGCUUAGAGAUAAGUGAAGCCCUUCGGGGCACGGAGACAGGUGGUGCAUGGUUGUCGUCAGCUCGUGUCGUGAGAUGUUGGGUUAAGUCCCGCAACGAGCGCAACCCUUACUGAUAGUUACUACGCAAGAGGACUCUAUCGGGACCGCCGUUGACAAAACGGAGGAAGGUGGGGAUGACGUCAAAUCAUCAUGCCCUUUAUGACCUGGGCUACACACGUACUACAAUGGCAGUUAACAAAGGGGACCGAGGCCGCGAGGCCAAGGAAAUCCCAAAAAGCUGUCUCAGUUCGGAUUGUAGGCUGCAACUCGCCUAUAUGAAGUCGGAAUUGCUAGUAAUCGCGGAUCAGCAUGCCGCGGUGAAUACGUUCCCGGGCCUU